AGACCCGAAACCCGGUGAUCUAGCCAUGGGCAGGUUGAAGGUUGGGUAACACUAACUGGAGGACCGAACCGACUAAUGUUGAAAAAUUAGCGGAUGACCUGUGGCUGGGGGUGAAAGGCCAAUCAAACCGGGAGAUAGCUGGUUCUCCCCGAAAGCUAUUUAGGUAGCGCCUCGUGAAUUCAUCUCCGGGGGUAGAGCACUGUUUCGGCUAGGGGGCCAUCCCGGCUUACCAACCCGAUGCAAACUGCGAAUACCGGAGAAUGUUAUCACGGGAGACACACGGCGGGUGCUAACGUCCGUCGUGAAGAGGGAAACAACCCAGACCGCCAGCUAAGGUCCCAAAGUCAUGGUUAAGUGGGAAACGAUGUGGGAAGGCCCAGACAGCCAGGAUGUUGGCUUAGAAGCAGCCAUCAUUUAAAGAAAGCGUAAUAGCUCACUGGUCGAGUCGGCCUGCGCGGAAGAUGUAACGGGGCUAAACCAUGCACCGAAGCUGCGGCAGCGACGCUGAUGCGUUGUUGGGUAGGGGAGCGUUCUGUAAGCCUGCGAAGGUGACCUGUGAGGGUUGCUGGAGGUAUCAGAAGUGCGAAUGCUGA
This 593-nucleotide ribosomal RNA is filed under the name Salmonella enterica subsp. enterica serovar Heidelberg. RNAcentral's name for it is "partial 23S ribosomal RNA". It matches the Rfam family "Bacterial large subunit ribosomal RNA", at positions 711 to 1299 of the family's 2925-position model. Lineage: Bacteria; Pseudomonadati; Pseudomonadota; Gammaproteobacteria; Enterobacterales; Enterobacteriaceae. The record is from RNAcentral.